GGUUAAGCGACUAAGCGUACACGGUGGAUGCCCUGGCAGUCAGAGGCGAUGAAGGACGUGCUAAUCUGCGAAAAGCGUCGGUAAGGUGAUAUGAACCGUUAUAACCGGCGAUGUCCGAAUGGGGAAACCCAGUGCAAUUCGUUGCACUAUCGUUAACUGAAUACAUAGGUUAACGAGGCGAACCGGGGGAACUGAAACAUCUAAGUACCCCGAGGAAAAGAAAUCAACCGAGAUUCCCCCAGUAGCGGCGAGCGAACGGGGAGCAGCCCAGAGUCUGAAUCAGCUUGUGUGUUAGUGGAACGGUCUGGAAAGUCCGACGGUACAGGGUGAUAGUCCCGUACACCAAAAUGCACAGGCUGUGAACUCGAAGAGUAGGGCGGGACACGUGGUAUCCUGUCUGAAUAUGGGGGGACCAUCCUCCAAGGCUAAAUACUCCUGACUGACCGAUAGUGAACCAGUACCGUGAGGGAAAGGCGAAAAGAACCCCGGCGAGGGGAGUGAAAAAGAACCUGAAACCGUGUACGUACAAGCAGUGGGAGCACCUUCGGGUGUGACUGCGUACCUUUUGUAUAAUGGGUCAGCGACUUAUAUUCUGUAGCAAGGUUAACCGUAUAGGGGAGCCGCAGGGAAACCGAGUCUUAACUGGGCGUUAAGUUGCAGGGUAUAGACCCGAAACCCGGUGAUCUAGCCAUGGGCAGGUUGAAGGUUGGGUAACACUAACUGGAGGACCGAACCGACUAAUGUUGAAAAAUUAGCGGAUGACUUGUGGCUGGGGGUGAAAGGCCAAUCAAACCGGGAGAUAGCUGGUUCUCCCCGAAAGCUAUUUAGGUAGCGCCUCGUGAAUUCAUCUUCGGGGGUAGAGCACUGUUUCGGCUAGGGGGUCAUCCCGACUUACCAACCCGAUGCAAACUACGAAUACCGAAGAAUGUUAUCACGGGAGACACACGGCGGGUGCUAACGUCCGUCGUGAAGAGGGAAACAACCCAGACCGCCAGCUAAGGUCCCAAAGUCAUGGUUAAGUGGGAAACGAUGUGGGAAGGCACAGACAGCCAGGAUGUUGGCUUAGAAGCAGCCAUCAUUUAAAGAAAGCGUAAUAGCUCACUGGUCGAGUCGGCCUGCGCGGAAGAUGUAACGGGGCUAAACCAUGCACCGAAGCUGCGGCAGCGACACUAUGUGUUGUUGGGUAGGGGAGCGUUCUGUAAGCCUGCGAAGGUGUGCUGUGAGGCAUGCUGGAGGUAUCAGAAGUGCGAAUGCUGACAUAAGUAACGAUAAAGCGGGUGAAAAGCCCGCUCGCCGGAAGACCAAGGGUUCCUGUCCAACGUUAAUCGGGGCAGGGUGAGUCGACCCCUAAGGCGAGGCCGAAAGGCGUAGUCGAUGGGAAACAGGUUAAUAUUCCUGUACUUGGUGUUACUGCGAAGGGGGGACGGAGAAGGCUAUGUUAGCCGGGCGACGGUUGUCCCGGUUUAAGCAUGUAGGCUGAUUGUCCAGGCAAAUCCGGAUAAUCAAGGCUGAGGUGUGAUGACGAGGCACUACGGUGCUGAAGUAACAAAUGCCCUGCUUCCAGGAAAAGCCUCUAAGCAUCAGGUAACAUUAAAUCGUACCCCAAACCGACACAGGUGGUCAGGUAGAGAAUACCAAGGCGCUUGAGAGAACUCGGGUGAAGGAACUAGGCAAAAUGGUGCCGUAACUUCGGGAGAAGGCACGCUGGUGUGUAGGUGAAGUCCCUGCGGAUGGAGCUGAGACCAGUCGAAGAUACCAGCUGGCUGCAACUGUUUAUUAAAAACACAGCACUGUGCAAACACGAAAGUGGACGUAUACGGUGUGACGCCUGCCCGGUGCCGGAAGGUUAAUUGAUGGGGUUAUCCGUAAGGAGAAGCUCUUGAUCGAAGCCCCGGUAAACGGCGGCCGUAACUAUAACGGUCCUAAGGUAGCGAAAUUCCUUGUCGGGUAAGUUCCGACCUGCACGAAUGGCGUAAUGAUGGCCAGGCUGUCUCCACCCGAGACUCAGUGAAAUUGAACUCGCUGUGAAGAUGCAGUGUACCCGCGGCAAGACGGAAAGACCCCGUGAACCUUUACUAUAGCUUGACACUGAACAUUGAGCCUUGAUGUGUAGGAUAGGUGGGAGGCUUUGAAGCGUGGACGCCAGUCUGCGUGGAGCCAACCUUGAAAUACCACCCUUUAAUGUUUGAUGUUCUAACGUUGGCCCCUUACCGGGGUUGCGGACAGUGUCUGGUGGGUAGUUUGACUGGGGCGGUCUCCUCCCAAAGCGUAACGGAGGAGCACGAAGGUUAGCUAAUCCUGGUCGGACAUCAGGAGGUUAGUGCAAUGGCAUAAGCUAGCUUGACUGCGAGCGUGACGGCGCGAGCAGGUGCGAAAGCAGGUCAUAGUGAUCCGGUGGUUCUGAAUGGAAGGGCCAUCGCUCAACGGAUAAAAGGUACUCCGGGGAUAACAGGCUGAUACCGCCCAAGAGUUCAUAUCGACGGCGGUGUUUGGCACCUCGAUGUCGGCUCAUCACAUCCUGGGGCUGAAGUAGGUCCCAAGGGUAUGGCUGUUCGCCAUUUAAAGUGGUACGCGAGCUGGGUUUAGAACGUCGUGAGACAGUUCGGUCCCUAUCUGCCGUGGGCGCUGGAGAAUUGAGGGGGGCUGCUCCUAGUACGAGAGGACCGGAGUGGACGCAUCACUGGUGUUCGGGUUGUCAUGCCAAUGGCACUGCCCGGUAGCUAAAUGCGGAAGAGAUAAGUGCUGAAAGCAUCUAAGCACGAAACUUGCCCCGAGAUGAGUUCUCCCUGAGACUUUAAGUCUCCUGAAGGAACGUUGAAGACGACGACGUUGAUAGGCCGGGUGUGUAAGCGCAGCGAUGCGUUGAGCUAACCGGUACUAAUGAACCGUGAGGCUUAACCUU
RNAcentral lists this ribosomal RNA (2902 nucleotides) under Klebsiella pneumoniae. RNAcentral describes it as "23S ribosomal RNA". It matches the Rfam family "Bacterial large subunit ribosomal RNA". The record is from RNAcentral. Lineage: Bacteria; Pseudomonadati; Pseudomonadota; Gammaproteobacteria; Enterobacterales; Enterobacteriaceae.